RNAcentral lists this ribosomal RNA (441 nucleotides) under uncultured bacterium. RNAcentral's name for it is "SSU rRNA". It matches the Rfam family "Bacterial small subunit ribosomal RNA", at positions 26 to 518 of the family's 1533-position model. The record is from RNAcentral.
AGAACGAACGCUGGCGGCAGGCCUAACACAUGCAAGUCGAACGCCCCGCAAGGGGAGUGGCAGACGGGUGAGUAACGCGUGGGAACAUACCCUUUGGUUCGGAAUAACUCAGGGAAACUUGAGCUAAUACCGGAUACGUCCGCGAGGAGAAAGAUUCAUCGCCGAAGGAUUGGCCCGCGUCCGAUUAGCUAGUUGGUGAGGUAAUGGCUCACCAAGGCGACGAUCGGUAGCUGGUCUGAGAGGAUGAUCAGCCACAUUGGGACUGAGACACGGCCCAAACUCCUACGGGAGGCAGCAGUGGGGAAUAUUGGACAAUGGGCGAAAGCCUGAUCCAGCCAUGCCGCGUGAGUGAUGAAGGCCCUAGGGUUGUAAAGCUCUUUCGUCAGGGACGAUAAUGACGGUACCUGAAGAGAAGCCCGGCUAACUCGCGCCAGCAGCCGC